ACCAAAAAUAAGACCCAAUCUUUUAAAACUUCAAGAGAAAAGAAAUUUCC
Molecule: transfer RNA, 50 nt
Filed under: Ceratitis n. sp. OR
Lineage: Eukaryota; Metazoa; Arthropoda; Insecta; Diptera; Tephritidae
Description: partial tRNA-Thr
Source: RNAcentral